This 1699-nucleotide long non-coding RNA is filed under the name Nicotiana tabacum (common tobacco). RNAcentral's name for it is "long non-coding RNA (NTAB_LNC005579)". Lineage: Eukaryota; Viridiplantae; Streptophyta; Magnoliopsida; Solanales; Solanaceae. The record is from RNAcentral.
CGAAAAACACUGUAUUAUUAUAAAUUACAAUUUGAAUAUACCAAAAGCUAGCAUUACCUUAACAUAGAUCUUUUAUUAAUAGAGUCAAAAAGAAUACUCUUCGACAAACUCUAUCUCCAUUCUGGUAGCCAGCACACUAUCAAUUAGAUUUUGGCAUAUCCUCCUUGAAGUUUGAUUGCUCAAGCAGAUAAUGUUGAAAGAAGCAUUCUUUGAUCAACUAUCUUCUCAACAUUUUUCAGCCGUAACCAUACCGAUUGUGCUUUGGAAUAAUUUUCUUCUCAAGGUUGAUUGCUCUUUUUUGAAAUAUUCAAGUCUCACUUUUUCUAUUUCUAGGAACAUGCCGUGCACAAAAUCUCCAAUUUCAUCAUAUACACCUAUAAAUAAUAUUGAAUUAUAGACAUUAGUAAGCAUUAAAGUUUAAAUUUCAUAAGUGAUAUGAAAGAUUGGGUUCCAUUAGUCAUUUUUUAUCUAGUUAAUGAAAAUUCGGUAAUCAAGUAAAAUAAAGUUAAGGGAAAAGAUUUAAUUUCUUAUUUUUCAAUAAAAUAUUAGAGCUUGAUGUCCUCCUCGGAUAACCAUGGUCCUUUCCUUACAUUAGCCUUAUCAAGAAAGUUCUCCUUUCUCUCCCCCGUGUAGCUACUAAAUUAGACUUAGAUAAAAACAACAUAAGUUCAACCAAGAAACAUUUAUCAGAUGUGAAAAUAAAUUGAUAUAGGACUUAGAUAAGAAAGCAUUAAAGAAAUUAAUACAUUUAUCAAACUGAUGAUACUUAAUUUAGUGUUGCUUUGUCCCUCUACUUUCCUGAAAUGAUUCAGAUAUAGUAAAAGUGUAUUACUCCAAUUUGUAAGAGGUAUAUUAUCUAUAUUAAUGUAAUUUAAAGAAUGCAAGAGACUGAAAGUGUAGGAUGGUGACUCAUAAAAUUGUACGUGUAGAUAUAUAUGUGUGUGAUUUCAUCUUUCUCAAAUAUAUAUAUUUAAUCUUAUCUGUAAGAGCAAGAAGUAGAUAAUAGCAAAGUUAUAAGUCCUAUGACAACAUUAUUCAUCGGACCUCCAUAUUUAAAAACUACUUAUGUUAUGAAAGGUUUUACUACAAAUUUUUUUGAUACUUGGUUGAGUAUAAAUACUCAUUUUUUAAUUUAAAACAAGUAACAUUCAUAAAACUACAUUAAAAUUUAUUAAACUAUAAUACUGAAACUAUUUUGGAAUAACUAUUUUCAAGAAAUUUAUUAUUUGACUCGCCAAAAAAAUAUACAUGUAUCAAUAUUUUUCUCUAAGUUAUGAUUAGAAGCAUAUAAUCUUGGCGGUCAAAGGAUUCAAUUAUUAUGUGAUGGUUUCAAGUGAUGGUGAUACGGAAUUAACAUCACGUUCGAAUUCUCUUGAAAAGUUAUAUCAAUAGAAUGAACUUACAAUCCGACUUCGGCGGAGAUAGAUAUCGUUAAGGAUUUAGCCGGAAAAUAGAUGGAGGGAAUAGUAGCGACGACAAAGAUCUGACCAUCAAAUUAAAAUGGGGAAAACUGUGAGAAAAAGAUAAUUAAUAAAAAAUAUGACAGUUUGGUAAAUAAGAUCGGCAAGGGGGUAAACCUGUUAGGUUAACAGAGAAGAUCCAAGAUUGAGGAAAAAGUGUCAUCGGCUUCUGACUUUAUAAACAAAGGAAUAAAACGAUGCAACAGUUCAGGAUGGUGAUUGUUAGAAGGAAGACUCUU